UGCUACUCACGUGUCGAGCAACAACAAAACCUCGACGUCCGUUUCAGGCCUUCCCGCUCGUCCCUCCAGCGGACUGCUCUUGCUCGUCCCAGGUCGGACAUCAGAGACGUCCACCAGCGGGCCGGUGGCCUGCGACAGAGACUGAUAGUGGACAGAGUGCGUGACGGUGGCCGACUUCUGUUUGGCAGUUUCUCCGAAAUCGUUAUCGAUAUAUGUUUAGGUUUGAAUAUGGUUCAGCAAAGAUGACUCACCCACGGUUUCCAUGGUGUCUCUCUCUUCGAUGAGCAGCUGCGCUCGGGGAAUGUCGAUGUGCAUGCGGAGGGUCUGCUGUUGUUUGUUAAUGGUAUC
Molecule: long non-coding RNA, 348 nt
Organism: Carassius carassius (crucian carp)
Lineage: Eukaryota; Metazoa; Chordata; Actinopteri; Cypriniformes; Cyprinidae
Exons: 3
Source: RefSeq, a predicted model, not a curated record